AGAUUCCACAAUUCCGCACCUUCUCCCAUGCUCCAGCCACGGUAUGUGAAAAGAUCUCUUCUAUCAAGGCUCAGGAACAGUUUCUCUCUAGAGAGUGAUAUCAUCAAAAUGUUUGUAUAGGAGUUUUCUACCAUCUUUCUACUCCCCCCCCCCCCCCCAAAAUAACACCAAUUUUGAUAAUUAAGCAUGGAUAAGAGGGCCAGUGUGGAAGUCCAGGAGUCUAGCAGAGAAAUUCCAGCACACUGCUAGAGCAAAAACUCUUUAGAUUGAACUCACUGAAGAAGGAGAAAAUGAAAGAGCAUGAGUGGGUGCCUGGCUUCCCAGAUGUGCCAUAUGCUGCCAAAGAGGAGCAUUUCCUUCUUACCCCAUGCAGAAUACUGAGUAAAGGAUAUGACUCAUUGGCCAGCAAAUAACUGCAAUAGCAGCUAGGGCUGAAAAAGCAUGGAACAGUAUCAAAGAGAUGUAGAUCCUACUAACUGCUUCAUGAACUCAUCAGUAAGCCUGCCCACAAACUGCUGGGGAUGACUCAUCAAUGGAUACCCCCACAUUGAUCCACAGGUACCCCAACACACAUCUCCCCAACACAUACCUCAAACCCAGAGAUAUUUUCCUGUGCGCACCUUUGCAGGUGGUGUCUGUGAGCCUUUGUAGAAGGUUAGUGGGCAUACGCAGUAAGAAGGCCUGACAGUGGGAUUAGGAAAAAGCACACAAACUUUUGAGUUUUCUACAUUCACCUACGGAAGGCAAAUGGGAGGUUGUCAGUACCCAGCCCGGCUUUGCAGAAUUUAGAGAAGUAUUAAAAUCUCGAGUCCCCCCUACCGCCAACAGGAAACAGGAAUUGUGGGACAGGUGUAUCCAUAGAAAAGGUCAGAGAAAGUCUCAAAAUCCCUAACAGGGAAGAUGGAAGGCAUUUGUCUCCCAAAGCCAGUCAGUAAAAUCUGAAGUAGGUGAUGCCUCUUUAGAUGUGAAGACGGUAAUGCAAGGAUUCAGAAAACAAGAAAAAUCAAAGAAACACGACUCCAACAAAGGAAAA
Molecule: long non-coding RNA, 1033 nt
Organism: Myotis davidii
Lineage: Eukaryota; Metazoa; Chordata; Mammalia; Chiroptera; Vespertilionidae
Exons: 3
Source: RefSeq, a predicted model, not a curated record